Molecule: unclassified non-coding RNA, 1169 nt
Filed under: Hevea brasiliensis (rubber tree)
Lineage: Eukaryota; Viridiplantae; Streptophyta; Magnoliopsida; Malpighiales; Euphorbiaceae
Source: RNAcentral
GUCUAACUUGAACCUUAAUUCUUUCGAAGAAGAAGAUCUGCCUCAACUUGAUUAGUAAAGUGUAACAAGAGAGUCUCUUCCUUUCUUCUUCCUCAAAUGAGCUUUCGGUAAAAUUCAUAAAGCUCAACUACUUCACUGGCUUUUCGUCUUUAUUUUAAAAUGUAGUUUACCUUUAGGUAUGAAAGUAGCAUGUUACUAUCAAAGCUAAGUUCUUCAUUUUUUGCUUCUAAGGUGGGACUCUCAUUUGAUUCCGAGAGAGAACAAAUGUUGGAGUAUCUUUGGGUGCUACAGUGAUUAGAACUAUUGCUAACUGCAGCUUCAAAUGGUGGGACCUCAAAGAUGUCAAUAUUAAAUGGAGGGGAAGCCACUGAGCUUGAUGCUAGAGAAUGUCGAUUAAUUAUUAAAAGAUCACAUUCUAGAGUUUCGAUGCUUUAAACAGAGAUUGUGACAUCAGCAGAUGGGAACGAGGUAGAGGUAGCUGUUUCAGAGGCUUCUUCACGUGUUAGACCAAUCUCAUAAUUAAGGUGGUUGCAUUGCUUACUAGAGGAGGCAGAGUCUUCAACAUGCAUAGAAGGAACCUUGGGAGCACUACCAUCUACUAAGACACGUGUCAUAGGAUCCUUCAUUAAUGCUGCUAGGGACAACCGUACCGUUAACAUUGCAUGCCAGGUUAUCACCACUAUUGGAGCUCUAGUUAUUGCCGAAGCCACCAUGGCUUCCAUCUCCAUUACCAAGUUCAUUCUUCAGAUGAUUAAUGCCAUCACUGUUAUUAUAGGAAGUAGCAUCUUCCUUACCAUUGAAAUUAUCAUCACCACUGUUGUGUUUAUCUCCACCAAGAAGAUCAUCUCUGCUUACCCCAUCAUUGUUAUCAUUGUUAUCUUCAGAGUUUAUCUCCAAUGAGAUAUUUGGAGAGUGAGAUUUUCGCUUAAAUAUGGGACAAGGAAAAAAAAUCAUGACAAUACUCCUCCACUGCAUUAAUUGGAAUCUCAUAUAGUUCGAAUCAACCACUAAUGUUCUGCUGACCAGAGUUGGAGAAUCCGUUAGGAUUAGAAUUCUUGCAAAGUCAAGCUUUGAUAAAGAAAAUGAUUCCCCAUCAGCCAUUAUGAACUCUCCAUAAAGGCUUCCUAUCCAUUUGAAAAAAAUCAGACGUCCAUAGAUUAAGAGCAACA